Molecule: ribosomal RNA, 528 nt
Filed under: Escherichia coli
Lineage: Bacteria; Pseudomonadati; Pseudomonadota; Gammaproteobacteria; Enterobacterales; Enterobacteriaceae
Description: bacterial SSU rRNA
Rfam family: Bacterial small subunit ribosomal RNA
Source: RNAcentral
UUCCAGAGAUGGAUUGGUGCCUUCGGGAACUGUGAGACAGGUGCUGCAUGGCUGUCGUCAGCUCGUGUUGUGAAAUGUUGGGUUAAGUCCCGCAACGAGCGCAACCCUUAUCCUUUGUUGCCAGCGGUCCGGCCGGGAACUCAAAGGAGACUGCCAGUGAUAAACUGGAGGAAGGUGGGGAUGACGUCAAGUCAUCAUGGCCCUUACGACCAGGGCUACACACGUGCUACAAUGGCGCAUACAAAGAGAAGCGACCUCGCGAGAGCAAGCGGACCUCAUAAAGUGCGUCGUAGUCCGGAUUGGAGUCUGCAACUCGACUCCAUGAAGUCGGAAUCGCUAGUAAUCGUGGAUCAGAAUGCCACGGUGAAUACGUUCCCGGGCCUUGUACACACCGCCCGUCACACCAUGGGAGUGGGUUGCAAAAGAAGUAGGUAGCUUAACCUUCGGGAGGGCGCUUACCACUUUGUGAUUCAUGACUGGGGUGAAGUCGUAACAAGGUAACCGUAGGGGAACCUGCGGUUGGAUCAC